RNAcentral lists this ribosomal RNA (555 nucleotides) under Triticum aestivum (bread wheat). RNAcentral describes it as "partial small subunit ribosomal RNA". The record is from RNAcentral. Lineage: Eukaryota; Viridiplantae; Streptophyta; Magnoliopsida; Poales; Poaceae.
CACCUCGGCGGCCUCCUCUUCGGCGGCGCAACCAUCCAGAUCUUCCUCGAGGGCUCCUCCUUCCCCGGCGGAUUCAUCUCCUCGCCCGCCCCCGGCGUCGGCGGGGUCAGCCUCCUCGACUACUUCAUGGGAUCCGGCCUCAAGCAGCUCAUCCAGCAGCUCGCGGAGAACGACCGCAGCCGCUACGACACCCUGCCCACCGCCAAGGCUGCGGUUGCCGCCCUCCCUAAUGUCGCCGUCGAUGGGGGCGCCCAGCACGUCCUCCAAAAGGAUUGCAUCCUGCCAUGGCUUGACCUCCACAGCUCCUCCCUGUCUGCCGCCAUCUAUGUCCACCAGUGCCAGGCAGCUGCCGCUGCGGCGGCGGCACCUGUGGCCCCAGGUGGCGGCCCUUCGCCUAGGGUCAUGGUGAGGAGGUUCAGGAUCUCGCUGCCGUGGCCUCUCAGAGCCGCUUUUGGAGCUCAGCAGGCGGAGAGCAGCGACCAGGACGAUGCUGGCUAUGGCGACUACAAAAACGAUGGGAAUGCGAGCGGUCGCUCGUAUGAUGAUCUCGACUGA